Molecule: ribosomal RNA, 468 nt
Filed under: uncultured bacterium
Lineage: Bacteria
Description: partial 16S ribosomal RNA
Rfam family: Bacterial small subunit ribosomal RNA
Source: RNAcentral
GACGAACGCUGGCGGCGUGCUUAACACAUGCAAGUCGAACGGAAAGGCCCUGCUUUUGUGGGGUGCUCGAGUGGCGAACGGGUGAGUAACACGUGAGUAACCUGCCCUUGACUUUGGGAUAACUUCAGGAAACUGGGGCUAAUACCGGAUAGGAGCUCCUGCUGCAUGGUGGGGGUUGGAAAGUUUCGGCGGUUGGGGAUGGACUCGCGGCUUAUCAGCUUGUUGGUGGGGUAGUGGCUUACUAAGGCUUUGACGGGUAGCCGGCCUGUGAGGGUGACCGGCGACAUUGGGACGGAGAGAAGGCCCAGAAUCCAACGGGAGGCAGCAGGGGGGAAGAUGGCACAAUGGGCGGAAGCCAGAUGCAGCAACGCCGCGUGCGGGAUGACGGCCUUCGGGUUGUAAACCGCUUUCGCCUGUGACGAAGCGUGAGUGACGGUAAUGGGUAAAGAAGCACCGGCUAACUACGUG